RNAcentral lists this ribosomal RNA (507 nucleotides) under uncultured bacterium. RNAcentral's name for it is "bacterial SSU rRNA". It matches the Rfam family "Bacterial small subunit ribosomal RNA", at positions 27 to 518 of the family's 1533-position model. The record is from RNAcentral.
GAACGAACGCUGGCGGCGCGUUUAAGCAUGCAAGUCGGACGGCAAGCACUGUAGCAAUAUGGUGCCUAGAGUGGCGAACGGGUGAGUAACACGUAGGUGAUCUACCUCUGGAUGGGGGAUAGCCCGUGGAAACACGGGGUAAUACCGCAUGAGGCCUUUCGGGUAAAGCCGGGAGGUAAGAGGUGCAAUUGCACCGUCUGGGGAUGAGCCUGCGGUCCAUUAGUUAGUUGGCGGGGUAAUGGCCCACCAAGACGACGAUGGAUAGCCGGCCUGAGAGGGUGUACGGCCACACUGGAACUGAGACACGGUCCAGACUCCUACGGGAGGCAGCAGCUAAGAAUCUUCCGCAAGUGGGGGAAACCCUGACGGAGCGACGCCGCGUGGAAUGAUGAAGGCCGUAAGGUUGUAAAAUCCUUUUGUCGGUGAAGAAUAAUCGAGGGAGUGGAAAGCCCUCGAAAUGACGUUAGCCGACGAAUAAGCCCCGGCUAAUUACGUGCCAGCCGCUGC